Pelobates cultripes (western spadefoot toad) is the source of this 269-nucleotide non-coding RNA. NCBI's taxonomy places the organism in Eukaryota, Metazoa, Chordata, Amphibia, Anura, Pelobatidae. The record is from the annotation of a GenBank genome assembly.
CUAGUGUUCAGCGAAAUCUCCAGAGUAUAAAAGUACCCCCAUGUACAUGUUUAAUGGUGUUUUCAAAAGUUACAGAAUCAGAUAGAGUUUACCAUUUUGCCUGAUUGGUUUAACAACCCAUGGUAUUCAAUAUGGGUUAUGUCAGUCUAUAUUUGUAGCCACUUAGUAACAAACACUGCCCAAAGUUAACAUUCAUAUUUAUGAAUGUGAUACGAUUUACAGUUUUAAAAUACUAAUAUUUGGGUUCAGAGACGUCUCCAGAGUAUAAC